This 301-nucleotide ribosomal RNA is filed under the name uncultured bacterium. RNAcentral describes it as "partial 16S ribosomal RNA". It matches the Rfam family "Bacterial small subunit ribosomal RNA", at positions 509 to 807 of the family's 1533-position model. The record is from RNAcentral.
CAGUCGCCGCGGUAAUACGGAGGGUGCAAGCGUUAAUCGGAAUUACUGGGCGUAAAGCGUGCGCAGGCGGUUUGUUAAGACAGAUGUGAAAUCCCCGGGCUCAACCUGGGAACUGCAUUUGUGACUGGCAAGCUAGAGUGUGGCAGAGGGGGGUGGAAUUCCGCGUGUAGCAGUGAAAUGCGUAGAUAUGCGGAGGAACACCGAUGGCGAAGGCAGCCCCCUGGGCCAACACUGACGCUCAUGCACGAAAGCGUGUGGAGCAAACAGGAUUAGAUACCCCAGUAGUCCCUGUCUCUUAUAC